UACUCAUUCUUCUUUCUCACGCUUUGACCUUCUCCACAAACCCUAGAAACCAAAGUUGUUCAUGUGCCAUCUUCUUCUUCCCCUGAAUCGAUCCCUCACCACCUCACCUCCUGCUUACCUUAAUCUUUCGUUGUCAUCUAUACAAUCCGAUACCACCAUCUGCUAAUUACCUUUUUUUUACUUUACAUGUUACCUUCUGAUCAUAUUUAUUUCAAAUCAAGAAUUAGGUUUGCUCUUAUUUCAAUUCUUUAUGAUUCAUACACGCUAAUCAUCUUUAAGUUUCCAAUCCAGGAAUCCGUACCUCUGGCCACCCAAUCGACGGUUGCACAAUCGAGUAAUCGACACCGCCAUAGAGAUCCAAAAACCCAAGUUUUUCGUUGACCAAAGUGGCUGAAAGAUCGGAAGAACAGCCAUAAAAAAUGAAGAAGGAUUUACAGGUUAGACACACAUCAAUGAUGCAACAGAUUGCUAUGGAAUAUGGAUGUCAGUUGUGUUGAUCCAGCAGAUCACUAUGGAAGUAAACAUUGUGUUUAUUCAGUAAGCCAUGCUCUUCAGGUAAAAAAAUCAGGUAUAUACAUGAAGCGUGAUUUGUUGGCUAUUGAAAUAUUUCAAACUGUCUACAUACAUUUGUUAAAGACUCUACUAAACAAGUAAUGGGGCUAAGGAGUAUAUUCCAUUUAAAGUUUUGGGAUUAGCACUGAUACAAGUGAGUUUAAGUAAUUGCGUAUUAUAUUUAAUUAUUUAUUAAUUUUUUAUAUAUAAAGAAAUUGCCUUUCAGGUUAUGCUUUUUGGUUUAGGCUUUUGAAUUAGAUUUUAAGGAUUGUCAAUGUUGGUUAUGUCAUUUAUAGUUGUGUCCCCUUGCCUUUGCAGGUAUCGUGCGUUUUGCUUAUUGUUAGGAUUGUCAAUGACUUUGUUUACGAGGUUAGUUUGAUUGUUUUUAUUUAGAUUUAUAUUGUUUUAGAUAGUCUGGCGUGUACACUAUCUCUACAAAAUGAUUGAAGAAUGAAGAGUCCAUAAUCUCAAAGAUGUGGCUAAGACAUGGAAAUUUUGGAGUUCUGACCCACUGCUUUAAUGUCGCUUACAUACUAUAUUGACCGAACAUGGUUUUAACGAUGAAAAGCGUUACAUGUGGGACGACACUCUCAUUUGACGAUCAAGAGCUAUAUAUGGUGUUAAUUGUUCAAAUAUUAGAUCGAGUUAUUCUAUAAAUUGGUUCAAAUGGAGAAGAAGAAGCAUCCAGUCGGAGCAGAGCACUAUGUGCUAUAUGAAGAGGUAGGGCAAGGUGUUCGUACAUCAGUAUAUCGCGCCAUGUGUACUCUAAUCAAUGAGAUCAUUGCGAAUAAGAUUAUUGAUUUUUAACACGACAAUAGUGAUCUGGUAAAUUCUAUUCGUUCAUAGUCUUAUACCGUGCUUUGAUAAUUCCUGGAUUGAUUUGAUUUAGUUUUUGUAGAUUUCUUAUUAUAUUUGGUUCAUUGAUUUUAAAAUUGUUUUACUUAAUAAUACCUCUUAAGAAUACUUGGAUAAGAUUGGGAUUUAUAGGUUAGGUUUAUAAGUUUAUUUUUUAUAGGUCUAUAUAUUUAUAUUGAUUUUGAAAAAUACUUUUAUGUAUAGGGGCUGAGCCUGAACAUAAACUUAUCAGGCAGUGUGUUGAUAUGUGCUAACGUGUGUAACGGCGUUAGCGCGUUAUCUUAUGUGUUAUUGAAUACUCGCUCUAAAGGGAAAUAUAUUGCUUUUAUGUUUUAUGUUUGGCCCCAAAUAUUGAUCCUUCCAAAUAUUAUAGAAAAUAUAGUGCUUUACUCCAGGUUAAAUCUUUCCUUUUAUGCAGAACUAUCUGGUUGCAAUCAUGGCAGGGGUUUUGGUGCUAUCUACCAGCUUUCAUUCUAUAGUUUCUUAUGGAAUCAAAGUCCGUUCUAUUAAAGUGAUAUGGUAGUUACAAGAUCAACCCAUGUGGGUGAGGAUUUUUUGUUGUUUGUGGGAAGCAAACGCUAUAGACAACUUGGACCAAAGAGGCCAGGAUUUCCACUCAAAAGUUGCAGCUACCACCACAGUUUAAAAACUAAAGCCUUCAAGAAUUGUCCCAAAGGCCGUGUUUGAACGCUUCACUGUUAAGUGAUUGUAAGAUAGUCAAUGUGACUGAAACGACACACAAAACACCAAUGAAGCAUAAGAUAAUAUGGGUUGACAAUUUUGCUUUUGCCUCUGACAUUUUGGCUCUUUUGUGGCUGGUGAAGCAUGCAAUGGAAUGGGUCAAGAAAAAAAAACUCUAAUGCAAUUUUUUCUCAUACAUGGUGCCGAUAUAACACCCCCCCCCCCCAAUUACUUGCUACAUCCCCCUUUGAGAGAAAGAUGGUGGGUCCCACAUCCAAGUUUGUGAGAAGGGGAUAUAAUAAGAAGCAAAUAAGGGGUGUAUUUAGUAUCACCCUCUUUGUAUAUGAAUUUGGAUCAAGUUCCUUCAUUUCAAUCAGAUUUGUGCAUGAAAAAUCAUAUAUAGACGAGCAGAUACGGAAAACAUAAGCUUUGGAAAGCAGUGGGUCUUCAGAAGUUAAAAGAGUUGAAUGAAGGAGGUUAUUGGUUGAAAAUAUGUUGAUGGAGCUUUAAGGAGAGAUAAUCAAGCGAGUGGAAGUUAGCGAUAACAUUGGCCGCUCCGGCGAAAUGUCAUGGUUUGUGGAUGUGUGUGUAAACGGUUGAGAGUUUCAGAUCCAAAUUUGUUAGUUGGAUUUUUACGAAAGGGUUCGAGUUCGUUUAACAAGGUUGGGGCUGCUAAAUUUACUGAAGAAACUGGUGCCUUUGGAAUUAUUUAUGAGGCUAUCUUUGGUAGUGACUUGGUUUUAUUAUUGAUUUCUGGUUCAACUCGGGUUUGUUGGUUUGGCAUGUUUUGACCAAUGUAUAGUCUCUUUAAGUAUAUGAUCAUUGAGCUGAUGUGAUUUUGUAGUUAAUGCAAGCGGAUAACUACGAGAAAAUCUUUUCACACAUGAAGCCAAACAACAUACUUGGGUUAUCCCAUGGGUUCUUUCUUGGUCAUCUGCAAUAAGUUCUUGAUUUCCCCAAGAACACAAGUGUGGUUGUUGUGCGUCCCAAAGGAAUGGGUCCAUCUGUUAGGAGGCUUUAUGUUCAAGGAAAAGAAAUAAAUGGAGCUGGAAUCAAUGCAAGUUUUGUUGUUCAACCGGUUGCUUUUCUUCUUUAUUCUGUACAUAUCUUGUGAGAUAUUUAGAUGAAGAAAAAUUGUACGUGUGUGCAGGAUGUUGAUGGAAGAGCCACCGAGGUGAGCCUUUUAACUGUAUUUUCACUGCCAAUAAGUAAUCUAUGUAAGAUGUCACUUUGUUUGUAUUUAUACACUUUGUGAUAAUGUACAUUAAAUUUUCCGACCCGCGAAGUUCGCGGGUGAUAA
Helianthus annuus (common sunflower) is the source of this 3388-nucleotide long non-coding RNA. RefSeq lists it as uncharacterized. The record is from RefSeq and is a predicted model, not a curated record. Lineage: Eukaryota; Viridiplantae; Streptophyta; Magnoliopsida; Asterales; Asteraceae. The transcript has 9 exons.